AAAUCCAAAUUUUUGGCCAAAUAAUUUGUUUUAUUUCUAAUUUUUUAAUUUUUGGCCAAAUUACCCAUUUUAUUGUUACAUUUCUUAGCCCAACAAAGAUCCAACCCACUAAAUAACCCUAAAUACCUACGCUAAAGUGCAUAACGCUGUCUCGACUCUCACACUCACUCUCGCAGCCUCACUGACAUUCUAAAACUUAUACAAUCGCCGACCGACACUGUGACCUCCAAUCGAAGUUGAAGCUGUGAUCUUCGUUGAUCGAAGCAUUGACCGUAGCGAUCAUUUGAACAAGGUCCAAAUUUUUGGCCCAAUAAUUUGUUUUAUUUCUAAUUUUUUAAUUUUUGGCCAAAUUACCCAUUUUAUUGUUACAUUUCUUAGCCCAACAAAGAUCCAACCCACUAAAUAACCCUCAAUACCUACGCUAAAGUGCAUAACGCUGUCUCGACUCUCACACUCACUCUCGCAGCCUCACUGACAUUCUAAAACUUAUACAAUCGC
This 498-nucleotide long non-coding RNA is filed under the name Olea europaea (common olive). Its description in RNAcentral is "long non-coding RNA (OEUR_LNC009600)". Lineage: Eukaryota; Viridiplantae; Streptophyta; Magnoliopsida; Lamiales; Oleaceae. The record is from RNAcentral.